CUCGGCGCUCUCGGAAAAAAUGUUGAAUGACACUCUGUUGAAAGCUCUACUGCUGGUUCUCUUCACGGCACUGGAAAGCGAGGUCUUCUGUUGCAAGCCGUUUGACGCAGCGCGGGGAAAAAGGAUUUUGCGGCUUAGAGCCAACUUUAUAAAGAUACAAAAUCAGUGCAGAAGACAAAUCGUCGCCACAAUGAAACUCCUCACGCGGAACGAUCUUAAUAAGCUUGUCGAAGCUUUCUGCAACGCACAUAAUGACUGCAUGAAGUCG
Dermacentor albipictus is the source of this 268-nucleotide non-coding RNA. The record is from RefSeq and is a predicted model, not a curated record. Lineage: Eukaryota; Metazoa; Arthropoda; Arachnida; Ixodida; Ixodidae.